RNAcentral lists this unclassified non-coding RNA (627 nucleotides) under Hevea brasiliensis (rubber tree). Lineage: Eukaryota; Viridiplantae; Streptophyta; Magnoliopsida; Malpighiales; Euphorbiaceae. The record is from RNAcentral.
UUCUCCGAUCACUAACUAUCAAAAAACAGCUAAACAAAAUGGAAAGAAACAGAGAUAUAAAUUUGUUCAAAUAUUUACAUAUGCAUUCGUUAUAUACACUUAAAUUAAUUUUGUAUAAAUCUUGCUAUAAAUAUUUAAAUUAUCAUUAUAAAACUCACAGAGAUCAAACUUAUAUUGGAUUGAUGCACCAGAGAUAAAUACGUAAUUUGCACAUGGUACGUGUUGGCAGAAUAUCCCAAGGCACAAUUCCUUCAACGGCAUAAUUAUAAUGCGCGCUAGUUGUGACGAGGACAGGUGGCAGACAAAUAUAUGCCGUUGACAGACAAAAGCGGCAAACCCGCCCAAAAGACUAACGGCUUUAACUGCCCCGUUACUGUAUCCUUUCACAUCGCUCAGUCAGUUCUAGAUCUAUCCCUAAACGAAAGCGUUUCUUCCAGAUUUACAAUUUAGCUUAAUGAACAAUGAGUUAACACUAAAGUACACAUAAUUAAAUGGUGAUUUUUUAUUCAAUUAAGUUCUUCAAGUUUCGCUAGCCAUAAAUACUGUUAUGUAAGUCUAUUGGAGAGAGAAUUUUCUCGGAAACCAAACAGAAACAUAGUUUAAAAAAAGAACUGUCUGAGAUCAGAG